GACGAACGCUGGCGGCGUGCUUAACACAUGCAAGUCGAACGGAAAGGCCUCUUUCGGGGGGUACUCGAGUGGCGAACGGGUGAGUAACACGUGAGUAACCUGCCCUUGACUUUGGGAUAACUUCAGGAAACUGGGGCUAAUACCGGAUAGGAGCUCCUGCUGCAUGGUGGGGGUUGGAAAGUUUCGGCGGUUGGGGAUGGACUCGCGGCUUAUCAGCUUGUUGGUGGGGUAGUGGCUUACCAAGGCUUUGACGGCUAGCCGGCCUGAGAGGGUGACCGGCCACAUUGGGACUGAGAUACGGCCCAGACUCCUACGGGAGGCAGCAGUGGGGAAUAUUGCACAAUGGGUGGAAGCCUGAUGCAGCAACGCCGUGUGCGGGAUGACGGCCUUCGGGUUGUAAACCGCUUUCGCUCAUGACGAAGCUUUGUGUGACGGUAGUGGGUAAAGAAGCACCGGCUAACUACGUG
This 467-nucleotide ribosomal RNA is filed under the name uncultured bacterium. Its description in RNAcentral is "partial 16S ribosomal RNA". It matches the Rfam family "Bacterial small subunit ribosomal RNA", at positions 28 to 507 of the family's 1533-position model. The record is from RNAcentral.